RNAcentral lists this ribosomal RNA (266 nucleotides) under uncultured archaeon. RNAcentral's name for it is "partial 16S ribosomal RNA". It matches the Rfam family "Archaeal small subunit ribosomal RNA", at positions 717 to 982 of the family's 1478-position model. The record is from RNAcentral.
ACACGACUACAUUAGAUACCCCUGUAGUCCUAGCCGUAAACGAUACUCGCUAGGUGUCGGCCACGGUGCGACCGUUGUCGGUGCCGUAGGGAAGCCGUGAAGCGAGCCACCUGGGAAGUACGGCCGCAAGGCUGAAACUUAAAGGAAUUGGGCGGGGGAGCACAACAACGGGUGGAGCUUGCGGUUUAAUUGGAUUCAACGCCGGAAAUCUUACCGGGACCGACAGCAACAUGAAGGCCAAGCUGAAGACUUUGCCGGAUUAGCUG